RNAcentral lists this microRNA precursor (154 nucleotides) under Gossypium raimondii (Peruvian cotton). RNAcentral's name for it is "MIR8643 microRNA precursor family". It matches the Rfam family "MIR8643 microRNA precursor family". Lineage: Eukaryota; Viridiplantae; Streptophyta; Magnoliopsida; Malvales; Malvaceae. The record is from Rfam by way of RNAcentral.
AUUUCUUUUAACAUAUCAAGAAGUCGAAUUGGCAGUGAAGAAAUAAGUAGGAAGCCGAAAACCAUCAUUGCCUAUAACCAAAACCCAUUAAACCCAUACCAUGCAUGCUUUUUUCUUCACUGCCAAUUCGACUUCCUGAUAUGUUGAAAGAAAU